RNAcentral lists this transfer RNA (73 nucleotides) under Ailuropoda melanoleuca (giant panda). It matches the Rfam family "tRNA". Rfam says of the family: Transfer RNA (tRNA) molecules are approximately 80 nucleotides in length. Their secondary structure includes four short double-helical elements and three loops (D, anti-codon, and T loops). The record is from Rfam by way of RNAcentral. Lineage: Eukaryota; Metazoa; Chordata; Mammalia; Carnivora; Ursidae.
ACCUGGGUGGCUCAGUCGGUAGAGCGUGGGACUCUUGAUCUCAGGGUUGUGGGUUCAACUUCCAUGUUGGGCG